GGGUUGUGAGGUUAAGCGACUAAGCGUACACGGUGGAUGCCCUGGCAGUCAGAGGCGAUGAAGGGCGUGCUAAUCUGCGAUAAGCGCCGGUAAGGUGAUAUGAACCGUUAUAACCGGCGAUACCCGAAUGGGGAAACCCAGUGUGAUUCGUCACACUAUCAUUAACUGAAUCCAUAGGUUAAUGAGGCGAACCGGGGGAACUGAAACAUCUAAGUACCCCGAGGAAAAGAAAUCAACCGAGAUUCCCCCAGUAGCGGCGAGCGAACGGGGAGGAGCCCAGAGCCUGAAUCAGCAUGUGUGUUAGUGGAAGCGUCUGGAAAGGCGCGCGAUACAGGGUGACAGCCCCGUACACAAAAGCGCAUGUGCUGUGAGCUCGAUGAGUAGGGCGGGACACGUGGUAUCCUGUCUGAAUAUGGGGGGACCAUCCUCCAAGGCUAAAUACUCCUGACUGACCGAUAGUGAACCAGUACCGUGAGGGAAAGGCGAAAAGAACCCCGGCGAGGGGAGUGAAAAAGAACCUGAAACCGUGUACGUACAAGCAGUGGGAGCACAGGUUUACCUGUGUGACUGCGUACCUUUUGUAUAAUGGGUCAGCGACUUAUAUUCUGUAGCAAGGUUAACCGAAUAGGGGAGCCGGAGGGAAACCGAGUCUUAAUUGGGCGUUAAGUUGCAGGGUAUAGACCCGAAACCCGGUGAUCUAGCCAUGGGCAGGUUGAAGGUUGGGUAACACUAACUGGAGGACCGAACCGACUAAUGUUGAAAAAUUAGCGGAUGACCUGUGGCUGGGGGUGAAAGGCCAAUCAAACCGGGAGAUAGCUGGUUCUCCCCGAAAGCUAUUUAGGUAGCGCCUCGUGAAUUCAUCUCCGGGGGUAGAGCACUGUUUCGGCUAGGGGGCCAUCCCGGCUUACCAACCCGAUGCAAACUGCGAAUACCGGAGAAUGUUAUCACGGGAGACACACGGCGGGUGCUAACGUCCGUCGUGAAGAGGGAAACAACCCAGACCGCCAGCUAAGGUCCCAAAGUCAUGGUUAAGUGGGAAACGAUGUGGGAAGGCCCAGACAGCCAGGAUGUUGGCUUAGAAGCAGCCAUCAUUUAAAGAAAGCGUAAUAGCUCACUGGUCGAGUCGGCCUGCGCGGAAGAUGUAACGGGGCUAAACCAUGCACCGAAGCUGCGGCAGCGAACGUAUCACUUAAAGCGAUUCAGCGGGUUACGAUUGACGGAGCGAAGCGACGUCAAAGCGUAUACAAAGUCGAGUCGGUUUAAGGAUACGUUCGUUGGGUAGGGGAGCGUUCUGUAAGCCUGUGAAGGUGGCCUGUGAGGGUUGCUGGAGGUAUCAGAAGUGCGAAUGCUGACAUAAGUAACGAUAAAGCGGGUGAAAAGCCCGCUCGCCGGAAGACCAAGGGUUCCUGUCCAACGUUAAUCGGGGCAGGGUGAGUCGACCCCUAAGGCGAGGCCGAAAGGCGUAGUCGAUGGGAAACGGGUUAAUAUUCCCGUACUUGGUGUUACUGCGAAGGGGGGACGGAGAAGGCUAUGUUGGCCGGGCGACGGUUGUCCCGGUUUAAGCGUGUAGGUGUGUGUUCCAGGUAAAUCCGGUUCACUUUAACACUGAGGCGUGACGACGAGGCACUACGGUGCUGAAGCAACAAAUGCCCUGCUUCCAGGAAAAGCCUCUAAGCAUCAGGUAACAUCAAAUCGUACCCCAAACCGACACAGGUGGUCAGGUAGAGAAUACCAAGGCGCUUGAGAGAACUCGGGUGAAGGAACUAGGCAAAAUGGUGCCGUAACUUCGGGAGAAGGCACGCUGACACGUAGGUGAAGUGAUUUACUCACGGAGCUGAAGUCAGUCGAAGAUACCAGCUGGCUGCAACUGUUUAUUAAAAACACAGCACUGUGCAAACACGAAAGUGGACGUAUACGGUGUGACGCCUGCCCGGUGCCGGAAGGUUAAUUGAUGGGGUCAGCGCAAGCGAAGCUCCUGAUCGAAGCCCCGGUAAACGGCGGCCGUAACUAUAACGGUCCUAAGGUAGCGAAAUUCCUUGUCGGGUAAGUUCCGACCUGCACGAAUGGCGUAAUGAUGGCCAGGCUGUCUCCACCCGAGACUCAGUGAAAUUGAACUCGCUGUGAAGAUGCAGUGUACCCGCGGCAAGACGGAAAGACCCCGUGAACCUUUACUAUAGCUUGACACUGAACAUUGAGCCUUGAUGUGUAGGAUAGGUGGGAGGCUUUGAAGUGUGGACGCCAGUCUGCAUGGAGCCGACCUUGAAAUACCACCCUUUAAUGUUUGAUGUUCUAACGUGGACCCGUAAUCCGGGUUGCGGACAGUGUCUGGUGGGUAGUUUGACUGGGGCGGUCUCCUCCUAAAGAGUAACGGAGGAGCACGAAGGUUGGCUAAUCCUGGUCGGACAUCAGGAGGUUAGUGCAAUGGCAUAAGCCAGCUUGACUGCGAGCGUGACGGCGCGAGCAGGUGCGAAAGCAGGUCAUAGUGAUCCGGUGGUUCUGAAUGGAAGGGCCAUCGCUCAACGGAUAAAAGGUACUCCGGGGAUAACAGGCUGAUACCGCCCAAGAGUUCAUAUCGACGGCGGUGUUUGGCACCUCGAUGUCGGCUCAUCACAUCCUGGGGCUGAAGUAGGUCCCAAGGGUAUGGCUGUUCGCCAUUUAAAGUGGUACGCGAGCUGGGUUUAGAACGUCGUGAGACAGUUCGGUCCCUAUCUGCCGUGGGCGCUGGAGAACUGAGGGGGGCUGCUCCUAGUACGAGAGGACCGGAGUGGACGCAUCACUGGUGUUCGGGUUGUCAUGCCAAUGGCACUGCCCGGUAGCUAAAUGCGGAAGAGAUAAGUGCUGAAAGCAUCUAAGCACGAAACUUGCCCCGAGAUGAGUUCUCCCUGAGACUUUAGGUCUCCUGAAGGAACGUUGAAGACGACGACGUUGAUAGGCCGGGUGUGUAAGCGCAGCGAUGCGUUGAGCUAACCGGUACUAAUGAACCGUGAGGCUUAACCUUACAACGCCGAAG
RNAcentral lists this ribosomal RNA (3010 nucleotides) under Salmonella enterica. Its description in RNAcentral is "23S ribosomal RNA". It matches the Rfam family "Bacterial large subunit ribosomal RNA". Lineage: Bacteria; Pseudomonadati; Pseudomonadota; Gammaproteobacteria; Enterobacterales; Enterobacteriaceae. The record is from RNAcentral.